UACGGAGGAUGCGAGCGUUAUCCGGAUUUAUUGGGUUUAAAGGGUGCGUAGGCGGACUGUCAAGUUAGCGGUAAAAUUGAGAGGCUCAACCUCUUCCCGCCGUUGAAACUGGUGGUCUUGAGUGGAUGAGAAGUACGCGGAAUGCGUGGUGUAGCGGUGAAAUGCAUAGAUAUCACGCAGAACUCCGAUUGCGAAGGCAGCGUACCGGUAUCCAACUGACGCUGAGGCACGAAAGCGUGGGGAUCAAACAGG
Molecule: ribosomal RNA, 252 nt
Filed under: uncultured bacterium
Lineage: Bacteria
Description: partial 16S ribosomal RNA
Rfam family: Bacterial small subunit ribosomal RNA
Source: RNAcentral